AGCAGUAGCCGCGGUAAAACGAAGGGGGCUAGCGUUGUUCGGAAUUACUGGGCGUAAAGCGCGCGCAGGCGGUUCUCCAGGUCAGUGGUGAAAGCCCGGAGCUCAACUCCGGAACUGCCAUUGAAACUGUUGAACUUGAGGACGAGAGAGGUGAGUGGAAUUCCCAGUGUAGAGGUGAAAUUCGUAGAUAUUGGGAAGAACACCGGUGGCGAAGGCGGCUCACUGGCUCGUAUCUGACGCUCAGGCGCGAUAGCGUGGGGAUUAAACAGGAUUAGAUACCCCGGUAGUCCCUGUCUCUUAUAC
RNAcentral lists this ribosomal RNA (303 nucleotides) under uncultured bacterium. RNAcentral's name for it is "partial 16S ribosomal RNA". It matches the Rfam family "Bacterial small subunit ribosomal RNA", at positions 507 to 807 of the family's 1533-position model. The record is from RNAcentral.